CCUACGGGUGGCAGCAGUGAGGAAUAUUGGUCAAUGGGCGCGAGCCUGAACCAGCCAAGUAGCGUGAAGGAUGACUGCCCUACGGGUUGUAAACUUCUUUUAUAAAGGAAUAAAGUGGGGCACGUGUGCCUUUUUGAAUGUAUUUUAUGAAUAAGGAUCGGCUAACUCCGUGCCAGCAGCCGCGGUAAUACGGAGGAUCCGAGCGUUAUCCGGAUUUAUUGGGUUUAAAGGGUGCGUAGAUGGUUUGUUAAGUUAGUUGUGAAAGUUUGGGGCUCAACCGUGAAAUUGCAAUUGAUACUGGCAGCCUUGAGUACAGUUGAGGUAGGCGGAAUUCGUGGUGUAGCGGUGAAAUGCUUAGAGAUCACGAAGAACUCCGAUUGCGAAGGCAGCCUACUAAGCUGCCACUGACAUUGAUGCUCGAAAGUGUGGGUAUCAAACAGGAUUAGAUACCCGAGUAGUC
Molecule: ribosomal RNA, 460 nt
Filed under: uncultured bacterium
Lineage: Bacteria
Description: partial 16S ribosomal RNA
Rfam family: Bacterial small subunit ribosomal RNA
Source: RNAcentral